AAUUAUUCAUGUCUAAUUGGUUUAUUAAAUCACCAAUACAAUUAUAUAGUUUCAUUAAUAUAAAAUUAUUGUUAUUAUUGUAUGAUUCGAUGCUAAUGGUAAUGCUAAUAAGGGUAUUAGUAAAAGGUAUACUGAUUGUCAAACCUUUCACACUUUGAUUUUUUUUUUUAUUAUUUAUAAUUUUAAUAUAAUUAAGCAAUUGCAUUGCCAUUUGCGAAAACCUUUUCACACCUGAUUGACCAGUCACAGUGCCUGUCUGCCUCUCCCCACCACCUCUGCGUAAAGUAAACUCCCAGAAGUCAGACCAACUUAGAGCCAAAAUCCAAGCUCCCUAUGUAUCAAACUAAAAGCUCAAAAAUGCUUAGUUCUUGGUCAAUGUCCGCGAAAUUGCUCUGAUACUCCCUGGAAAUUUAGGAUGCAGAGGGACAAAAGCAUAGACAAGGCCCUGAAACCACAAAGACGUCUACGCAGAAAGGGCGGCGAUGGCAGUCGGCACCACAACAGAAUUGAAUAUAAUAAUUUUCGACAACUUUUGUACUUCUUUCUUUGUAUCAUUGUUUUGGUGUUUCUGAUGUUUUUUUCUCUCCAUCAUAUCUUGGCUUUAGGCUAGCUAUAUACACACAGAAAAAAGGUGGAUCGAUCUCCAUCCGUUGCGAUUACUCUUACUCUUCUUAUAGCAUGGAUGGAGUUCGAUCCACUUGAAUUAACUUCUUUUGAAGCUAAAAUUAAGUUCUUUUAGCAUAUGUACUAUUUGUGUUGUAAUACUUUCAUACUUGAAUUCUUCAAAGUGAAAUAAUGAAGUUUGACGAAUUAAUAU
Long non-coding RNA from Jatropha curcas, 817 nucleotides. RefSeq lists it as uncharacterized. NCBI's taxonomy places the organism in Eukaryota, Viridiplantae, Streptophyta, Magnoliopsida, Malpighiales, Euphorbiaceae. The record is from RefSeq and is a predicted model, not a curated record.